Molecule: transfer RNA, 71 nt
Filed under: Stegodyphus mimosarum
Lineage: Eukaryota; Metazoa; Arthropoda; Arachnida; Araneae; Eresidae
Rfam family: tRNA
About the family: Transfer RNA (tRNA) molecules are approximately 80 nucleotides in length. Their secondary structure includes four short double-helical elements and three loops (D, anti-codon, and T loops).
Source: Rfam by way of RNAcentral
GCCUUCGUGGUGUAAUGGUAGCACACUUGGCGCAUAUUCAAAUGAUCUAGGUUCGAGUCUUGCCAAAGGCU